ACAAACAAUACUAUAUUUCUAAAACAACCCCUACAGCAGGAAUAAAACACUCCUGUGACAUCACAAGGAGCUAUGUAAGGACAAUCUGCCCAGAAUGUUGAGAUCUAUGUAAAAUAAUUCUGAAGUAUUCACAGAUGAAAAGCAGCCUACACCCUGAGCCCAGGACAGAGUGCAGCGGGUUCAUAGGGGAUUUUGUUCAGUCUGAGCCCCGAGUGUCAAUUCUAUUCCCAGAUGGCUGACUGGCAGAGCUGCUUGCUGUUGGCCUCCAUCUCUGCUGCCAGAUAUGGGAGCAAGAGGCAAGACCUCCAGGCCAUGGCCUCUCUAGGUGUGCUCAGGCUCUGUCCAAGGGUCAGGGGUCAGAGGGCUGAGCCCAACAUCUAGUCACCAAUGAUCAGUCUUCCUCAACGCAGCACCAACUCACACUAGGACCAAGGCUCGCCUCUGAGGCCUGGUUUUCUGUCACCUCUGGACUCUGGGAAACACAGCCUGGAAGCAGCUGUGCUUCAGCUUGAGCAGCUGCUCCAGAGCUGACAGUAUAACAGGCCUUUCUGAAGAUUUGUGUAAGGCUAAUUAGAAGCAGGCCUGCUCCAAUCACCCAAAGAAACCAACUGCAGACACAAAUCCUUCACUGUGCUAUGGCAGAGACACCAUUCCUUUUGUGCUGGAGUCCAACUUCCUGCCGAUCCCCAUGACCACAUGGGGCUCUAGUCUCACAGGCAGGCCAUCAGAUACCACACCUGCGGGGCUUGCAGAGCCAGGCCUGUUGGCAGGACUCGAAAUGACUGCCUGAAAGCCCUGAAGGUCCUGGACAUGCCAUGGAUUCACUUCCCACUCUGGGAAUAAACUGCCAAUUGCAGACAAGCAUGGCCCAGGGAAAAAUCAAAACCAAAUCUUUACUUAAGCAUAAAACUAUACCCUGACCCCUUGCCAAGGACCACUGGAAUGUUCCUAGAGCUUACCAAGGCAGAAGAGCUCACGGCUAGGUGGGCGGGGAGAUGUUGGAACCAAGAGGACUCACCAGCCUUGCCUUGCCUUGCCUAUGGAGGGAGCUGGGCUGACUGCAGAGCAUGCUGAGCCACAGGCAUCUCCAUCUAAAAGGACUGAGACAGAGACUGUCACAGAUACUGAUGCCCGAGAGCUGAUACAAAGCACCUGGAUGUUUUUACAAGGAACACAUUCUAGGUUAAGAAGGUUCCAGUCUACAUUCGGGACAGGUGAAAGGCAUUAGUGUCUGGAAAAACUCCAUUUUGGUGAAAAUAAACAUGGAAAGAAAUAGCCUCCA
Long non-coding RNA from Mastomys coucha (southern multimammate mouse), 1282 nucleotides. RefSeq lists it as uncharacterized. Lineage: Eukaryota; Metazoa; Chordata; Mammalia; Rodentia; Muridae. The record is from RefSeq and is a predicted model, not a curated record. The transcript has 2 exons.